This 465-nucleotide ribosomal RNA is filed under the name uncultured bacterium. RNAcentral's name for it is "partial 16S ribosomal RNA". It matches the Rfam family "Bacterial small subunit ribosomal RNA", at positions 338 to 795 of the family's 1533-position model. The record is from RNAcentral.
CCUACGGGGUGCAGCAGUGGGGAAUAUUGCGCAAUGGGCGAAAGCCUGACGCAGCGACGCCGCGUGAGGGAUGAAGGUCUUCGGAUCGUAAACCUCUGUCAGCAGGGAAGAACGGUCACUGUGCUAAUCAGCAGUGAAUUGACGGUACCUGCAAAGGAAGCACCGGCUAACUCCGUGCCAGCAGCCGCGGUAAUACGGAGGGUGCGAGCGUUAAUCGGAAUUACUGGGCGUAAAGCGCUCGUAGGCGGUAUGUCAAGUCAAGGGUGAAAUCCCCGCGCUCAACGUGGGAACUGCCUUUGAAACUGGCAAACUGGAGUGUGUGAGAGGUUAGUGGAAUUCCAGGUGUAGGAGUGAAAGCCGUAGAUAUCUGGAGGAACAUCAGUGGCGAAGGCGACUAUCUGGCACAUAACUGACGCUGAGGAGCGAAAGCGUGGGUAGCAAACAGGAUUAGAUACCCGGGUAGUC